AUCCAGUUGACGAAUCCCAAAUAGGACGAAACACGCGUCAAAUUGGAU
This 48-nucleotide non-coding RNA is filed under the name Schistosoma margrebowiei. Lineage: Eukaryota; Metazoa; Platyhelminthes; Trematoda; Strigeidida; Schistosomatidae. The record is from RNAcentral.